CGGCCGGAAGCGCGUGCAGCAGCAGGUCUAAUGGCGAAUAGUAGAGGUUCUUGAGGGCUGAAGGCUACAGACUGAAGGUGGGUCUGACUGAAAACCUGUCUGCAUUUAAGUUGUUGCCCUGUGUGCUAUGAUGACUAAAUAUUAACACAUCAUGCUGACAAAACACCAUGCAUCAUUUGAAGCAGCUUGCCAGUAGGGGGCGCCAACUAUCUACAAGGAGCUCACAUUGAUUGCAGUGAUCCUGCCGUGCAGUUUUGGGUGAGUUAGGGAUGUGACCAGGCUGCAUCGACCUGUUGCAGCAAAUGAAAGUCGUGUCAGUAUGUGCUCUAAAUCUAAACCAUGACGUUCGCCCCUCAUUUUAGGGUUGAAAACUGAGUUAUGAAAGUGUUUGCCUUUUAGUAAUCACUUGUAAUUUGUCAUUUAAUCUAACCAUUUCAUCUCUAGUUGAAAGAAUGAAUGCAACCUUUUUGUUGCAUACAUGUGUGGGUAAUGGACAGAAAAUGUGUAUUUGCGCUACUGGAGUGUCAAAUGUGACUUGAGGAUAAAAGAAGUCAUUGUCCCACAUUUGUCAACAUUUAGUCUAAAACAAACUCAUUGCUUGUAACGAAGCACAUUGAUUAAUGAAGGAGAUGUAAGUUUCUCAUGUGGCAACGUCUAACAGGUGGCCACUAGUUUAAGGGAACCCAUGAACAAUAUGGACAUGGCGUCUGGGUUGGGAAAAUAAAGCAAAUGCCAGUCCCUUUAAAACUUUAGUAUUCAAGCAAGAUUGAAGCUAGAUCUCCUGAAAGACUGGCAGAAAUCUGCAAAGAGGCUCUCAGUUCUAGGAGAUGGUUAGUCUUAAGAUAAUCAGUUGCAUAAGGGAUUUCCAGCAGGGCUAUUUCAUUGGAAAACUCUUUCAUGAGUAAAUUUUUUUUUUUUUUUUUUUUUAUUUAUUUAUUUUUUUGACAUUAAGAGAUUUCAAGAAGGUAGUUGAAUGCUGACAGCACUUUAUAGACCAUUAUAGCAGAAGUCAGUGUGUAUUCUGUUUGUGUGGGAACAUACGAGGGUGGGCUGAAAAGUUCAUAGGCUGAGUGAGGAGUUAUCAUACAGUAAUUAAAUUUGGCAUGCUGUAUAUUUAACCUUGGGUUAUCCCCUGAGGACAUUCAUGCUGACAUGGUUGCUGCAUUUGGGGAUGAUGAUCCAGCUUUAUCAACUGUGCACAAGUGGGCAGCUGAAUUCAAGAGGGGUAGGGAGAACCUUGAAGAUGACCCAAGGACGUCCUGAGAAUGAGUUGAACUGUCUGCAUAACUUGACGUGUCAAAGGUUUCUGCUCGGUGGGUGCCACGACUUUUGACACCUGAUCAAAAGCACACCAGGCUCAUAUCUGUGUAAUAAAACAAACAUCUGAGAUCUGGCACAGGAACUCAAAUCAAACUUAAAAGUGCAGCUCUGACACUUAAAUUUUUUGGUUUAAUCAAAAGCAUAGAUAAUGCAGUGUUGUAUUGAGAUGAUUAUUCAUAUGCAGGUUACCUUUAAUAAAAUCUG
Molecule: long non-coding RNA, 1524 nt
Organism: Archocentrus centrarchus (flier cichlid)
Lineage: Eukaryota; Metazoa; Chordata; Actinopteri; Cichliformes; Cichlidae
Exons: 4
Source: RefSeq, a predicted model, not a curated record